Long non-coding RNA from Homo sapiens (human), 647 nucleotides. Ensembl annotates it as long intergenic non-protein coding RNA 1837. NCBI's taxonomy places the organism in Eukaryota, Metazoa, Chordata, Mammalia, Primates, Hominidae. The record is from Ensembl.
GGGAGUGGGAGGGUGAUUAACAGGGGAAGAAUUAGGAAAGAGGACACGCAAGACCACAGUAAGAGAUGGAAAUAAGAGAAUAUUCCUGAUUUCCACUGGAUGACUUUGACUGGUAAUGUCAUUGCAUGUACACAGUUUAAGACAGAGCAUCUGGUGAUUCUCGGACCUUCAAGCAAGUGUCACAUCUCAGGUGAACCUUGGCAGUUUUAAGAUGAACAAAGUAAUCAAAGCAAAAAUGUCAAAUAAUAAUAAUAAUAAUGAUAUCAGAAGAAUGUCCAGUGCCAUGGUUGGAUUCCCAGAAGGCAGCAUCUGCUCAUGCCAUCAACAACAUGGUGCCAUUUCAGUCAUCCUCUUUUUGUCCCAAAGACAGAAAAAAAAUAGAAAAAAGAAAGAGAAAAAGACACCACGAACCGUCUAUCCUCCUGGUAAUACAAAUACACCUGUAAAUAAACAUGUCAAUGUCUACACACAACGCACAUUUAUGCAGAAUCCAUCCUCUCGGUGCUUCCGUAGUUAUCAAGUAAAAGUCCUUCUAAGCCUAAGAAAUGAUAGUAUUAAUUCAGUCUUGGGGUGUGGGGGGAAAGGUGGACUAUCAUCAAAUAAAAAAGGCGAGGCUAAUUAAGUGACAUCCACUGGGGACUGGGAAA